GAUGAACGCUGGCGGCGUGCCUAAUACAUGCAAGUCGAACGAAACUUCUUUAUCACCGAGUGCUUGCACUCACCGAUAAAGAGUUGAGUGGCGAACGGGUGAGUAACACGUAGGCAACCUGCCCAAAAGAGGGGGAUAACACUUGGAAACAGGUGCUAAUACCGCAUAACCAUAGUUACCGCAUGGUAACUAUGUAAAAGGUGGCUAUACUACCGCUUUUGGAUGGGCCCGCGGCGCAUUAGCUAGUUGGUAGGGUAAAGGCUUACCAAGGCAAUGAUGCGUAGCCGAAUUGAGAGGUUGAUCGGCCACAUUGGGACUGAGACACGGCCCAAACUCCUACGGGAGGCAGCAGUAGGGAAUCUUCCACAAUGGGCGAAAGCCUGAUGGAGCAACGCCGCGUGGGUGAAGAAGGUCUUCGGAUCGUAAAACCCUGUUGUUAGAGAAGAAAGUGCGUGAGAGUAACUGUUCACGUUUCGACGGUAUCUAACCAGAAAGCCACGGCUAACUACGUG
This 512-nucleotide ribosomal RNA is filed under the name uncultured bacterium. RNAcentral's name for it is "partial 16S ribosomal RNA". It matches the Rfam family "Bacterial small subunit ribosomal RNA", at positions 28 to 507 of the family's 1533-position model. The record is from RNAcentral.